GUACUUUUUUUAGUAAGUAAGAACUGAGUGGUUUAGGGAUUGCCUUCUCAGUAAUCAGUGACUGGUGAGGGUUUUUUUUUGUUGUUUUUUUGUUGUUUUUUUGUUGGUUUUUUUUUUUUUUUUGGGUUUUUUUUUCUGAAAGUAUGACUAGAGAGCCCUUAGGUAUUCUCACUGCUGAAAUAUUUAUACCACAGGAAGACUGAAUUCCCAGUGAAAUGCAGUUGCAGCCAUUUUCUUUGAAAACACAGCUGGAGCCCUUUCAUGGGGAUAAUGAAGAGAGAAGUAAGGCACUGCUCAUUAGCUAUUACUGUGUGAAAGGACUCAGCCCACUGCCAAGAACCCCUGCCAUGCCACUCUACUGUGAGGCAUAGUGUAAGAAUUACAGCUUUCAGGUUCUCUACGCUGACUGAGAAAAAACCUGACCUCUGACCUCCACUUUCCAGAGGAACCUCCCCAUCACCCUUAUAUUUGGCCUAGACAAACAUUUAGCGCAACAGAUUUUUCUGGAGACUAAUCAAAACAAAUCCCUCUGGCCAAAGAACACAGGAUAUCUGUUUCAAUUGCUGACUUUUUCUGGACUUCAAUCUAAUGUUUUGUUCCAAGAUGGAUGAAAGCAAGGCAUUCUGUCACUAUAAGGGUUUCAGGUACAGUAUGUGGAGCAUGAUGUCUUACUGAAGUGUAUUUGCAAUUUUUUCUCUGCUCUCAUUUCUUUGUAUUUUAAAAUAUUUUAAAAGAGUGUCACGUAGGUAUGAAUUUAAAAAUAAGCAGUGUUCACAUAUGUUUUUACCAUGCCUAUGCAUCAG
Molecule: long non-coding RNA, 803 nt
Filed under: Zonotrichia albicollis (white-throated sparrow)
Lineage: Eukaryota; Metazoa; Chordata; Aves; Passeriformes; Passerellidae
Description: lncRNA (ENSZALG00000008435.1)
Source: RNAcentral